RNAcentral lists this non-coding RNA (117 nucleotides) under Nomascus leucogenys (northern white-cheeked gibbon). Lineage: Eukaryota; Metazoa; Chordata; Mammalia; Primates; Hylobatidae. The record is from Rfam by way of RNAcentral.
GCUGGGCAUGGUGGCUCAUGCCUGUAAUCCUAGCACUUUGGGAGGCUGAGGCGGGUGGAUCACUUGAGGCCAGGAGUUCAAGACUAGCCUGGCCAACAUGGUGAAACCCCAUCUCUA